UAUUAUUACCUCUAGUAAUGUUUCAGCGAACGCAAUGUUGUCGGGAUCUUGAAGAUCAAGACGCAUAUUCUUUGUAAGUGUCAGAACAGUUAUAUUACUCCAGAGCAUAGAUUUUCUGAGACACGCACCUACGACGUCUGCACGGCCGCCAUUCGGUAUAACUGGCAACGUUUGCCUGAAAUCUCCUCCCAUAACAACCGUAACACCUCCAAAAGGAAUAUUAAAUGUUGAGUGUGCAGUCCUACCCCCUACUAAAAGCAGCGAAGCAAUGCCUGAUGAGGCAACGGAAAAUGUUUUAGCUUCUUGCCGGAUAUGCGCAAUAGUUUGUCCAAGAGGUAUAAUCCAUAAUCCA
Molecule: long non-coding RNA, 352 nt
Organism: Papaver somniferum (opium poppy)
Lineage: Eukaryota; Viridiplantae; Streptophyta; Magnoliopsida; Ranunculales; Papaveraceae
Exons: 3
Source: RefSeq, a predicted model, not a curated record